GAUGAACGUUGGCGGCGUGCCUAAUACAUGCAAGUCGAACGAAGACUGUAGUAAUACUGUCUUAGUGGCGAACGGGUGAGUAACGCGUGGGUGACCUGCCCCGAAGUGUGGGAUAACAGUCCGAAAGGAUUGCUAAUACUGCAUAAUAUCCAAGAGAUUAGAUGCUUUUUGGAUUAAAGGAGUAAUUCGCUUCGGGAGGGGCCCGCGUCCCAUCAGCUAGUUGGUAAGGUAAUGGCUUACCAAGGCGAUGACGGGUAGGGGACCUGAGAGGGUGGCCCCCCAAAUGGAACUGAAACACGGUCCAUACACCUACGGGUGGCAGCAGUAGGGAAUAUUAGUAAUGGGCGAAAGCCUGAACUAGCAACGCCGCGUGUGCGAAGAAGGCCUUCGGGUCGUAAAGCAACUUUUUGAGAGGAUGAGGAAGGACGGUACUCUCAGAAUAAGUCUCGGCUAACUACGUGCCAGCCAGCCGCGGUAAGAUCACGUGUAA
This 490-nucleotide ribosomal RNA is filed under the name uncultured bacterium. Its description in RNAcentral is "bacterial SSU rRNA". It matches the Rfam family "Bacterial small subunit ribosomal RNA", at positions 28 to 532 of the family's 1533-position model. The record is from RNAcentral.